GCGGAUGUGGUGAAAUGGUAUACACGCUGGUUUUAGGAACCAGUGCCUUAAAAAGCGUGGAGGUUCGAGUCCUCUCAUCCGCA
Molecule: transfer RNA, 83 nt
Filed under: Pseudomonadota bacterium
Lineage: Bacteria; Pseudomonadati; Pseudomonadota
Also listed under: 1 other name
Description: tRNA-Leu
Rfam family: tRNA
About the family: Transfer RNA (tRNA) molecules are approximately 80 nucleotides in length.
Source: RNAcentral